RNAcentral lists this long non-coding RNA (634 nucleotides) under Numida meleagris (helmeted guineafowl). RNAcentral's name for it is "lncRNA (ENSNMEG00000019083.1)". Lineage: Eukaryota; Metazoa; Chordata; Aves; Galliformes; Numididae. The record is from RNAcentral.
GGUGUUGAAAAGAUGACCAUCUUCUGGAAGGCCACCAGGAAAGAAUCAGUGGAGAAUGUUUCCUUCAAUACUGUUCUCUGACAAAUAAGGAAUGUACAGUGCACUGCAUAACAGGUAUAAAAAAGAAGACGAAGUUUUUGAAGGAAAGUACUUGAGGUACUCACUUAGAGAUCUGCUGAUGACUCAUGGAAAACUGAAGAAUUGUUUGACUGCCCUCGAUGACAUGUCCAUGUCAUGCUUAAGGCUCAGAUACUGCAAGAUGUAAAAUAAGAUAAAUAAGCCCUCAAUACUGAAGGCGCCUCUUGGUAGACAACAAGUUGUGGAUUCUGUGUCAAAUGAAAUUGCAUUUAACCUUUUUAGAGCAGAUACUAACUUUAACUUAGUGAUAGCCUAGCUGCAUCAAAAAGAAGAAAACCUGAAUUUACUAUCUGCAAAACAAUAUACAGUUUAAAAAAAUGUGGACUGUACUUGAUUUCAGUCUAUGUUUACAAUGAUGGAAAGAAAAUUACAUUUACUGCUUUUUAGCUUUUCAAAUGUAGGUAAGAUUUAUUUUGGAAUAUCAAAAAUGGUACUUCAAUUCUAUUGUAUGGAAUGGAUGCCACACAAUAAAAUUCAUCUGCUGUUUAACCUUCCA